CUUGGAAGUCCUUUCCGGGUUGACAGAGAAUCUGGAGGUGGAGCACCUUUGCUGGGUGGUACACUCCGGCUGCCAGCAGGAUCAAGAGUCAGCUGAGACCUUUACUGGAGAGACAACAUACCUUUCUUCAAGUCUCCAUCCUGCCCAAGGCUCCCAGCUGGACUCAAGGUGCAAGCCAGGGGUCUGGGGUCAUUUUGGAGAGAAAGCAAAUGUCCCAGAAGUAGCAAAUGACCUUAACUACCCCUGCUACCUCCCGGGAAGGUGCAGAGAGCUCCCUGCACCCAUCCCUCUGCGCAGCCCGCCCUCCCGUCGCCUGACGAUCUGGCCUCUCCUCACUGGGGGCGAUCUGAAUGCCCCAUCUUCCUCCCCGCCGCCAUCCUUUGGCUUCUCCCGCUCCCCAAGCCACCUUUCCAUACACCCACGGCACCACAGCCACAGGCUUCUCCCGCUCCCCAAGCCACCUUUCCAUACCCCACGGCACCACAGCCACAGCACACCUCCAGCCCACCCUUAGUUUUCCCUUCCCACUAUGCCUCACCUCCCGUGGAAGGUGCUGUCUUCCCUAAGCUAGUCCCGGGAAUCAGCACCGAGGGGGCGGGGCUCCUUUCGAAUCUCUAAGGCCCCACCUACAACUACCACAUGCGGGCAAUGAUUGGCGGAGCCCUAGGGGCCGGGGCUCCGGCGGGCAUGCGGCCGGAAGUCGGCUGGUGGCGAACUGUUCCAAAAGACUCCAUCCGGGCUGAAGCGGGGAAGGAUGGACCUCACCCCUGCCCUGACGGAACAGGAACCAAGGGACCCGAGGACCUACAGUGCCCUGAGAGCCCCUCCUGCCUGUGUGGCUCAGGACCUGACCGCCUCAGGAGGAGGCAAAAAAGGGAGCAGAGAGACACCCUUAAGAACUGAAAGACUGAGAAUACCUUGGAAAAUAUAGCAUUGUUUCACCUGAACUAAAGAGAAAAAUUAAAGAAAUAAGUGGCACACAGGCUGAGAUGGGGGAAUCAGAAGAAGCAUGAGCAGAACAGCCCCGAGAGUCAGAAGGGAUCCCUGCAGGGGAUGGAGCUGAAGAUGAAGGGUGACAAGCCCGGACGGUGCAAUCUUCCUCCCUGGAGGGCUCCUGUGCCAGAAAUUGCUUAAGCGGAAUUCCCUGAUAAGAUGAUGAAUGGAUCGGGGCCAACUUACCUUACUAGAAUACUCCAACUCUGAGGAUUAGUGGGCGAGGGUUCUGUUUUCUGCCUGCAACCAGACCCCCGUGGGAGGGCAGAAGAUGGGCUUGAGGCUAAAGUGGCUGACAAAAUGAGCCAGGUGGCAGAGGGCUGUCUGGCAGCCCCGGUGAACAGGCAGCAGCAAGCUCUUUCCCAGCUCAACCCAGGUCUUCUUGUCUGCGUGAGCAAGUAGCAAUCUGACCUUUUGCUAAGAAUUUUAACAGGAGAGUUCAUCUGGAGCAUCUCUUUUCACACAUUCAAAACAAGGGAGUAAUUGUACCGACCUUGGAGAAACAUGACUUUCCCUGAGGCUCAAGGUCUGUUUCCUCCUCAGAUGCCAAGAGGGACGUGAACAAAAGACUAGAUCCCUAAAGCUUGUGGGUUUUCAAAGGCCAGGUUUGAGAGCCUCAGUUUGAUUUUCUUCCUUCACAGAGUCUUGGGGAGAAGGCAUUUUGGAAAGUCCUUUGAGAGCCACUGGCUUCUGAGCUAUGUAUCUUAGUACUGUAUUUCUUUCAGAAUGCUGUCUAAUUCUUUCUGAAAAACCAGUAAAGGAGACUACUUAAAGUCCAAAGAUCUCAACUCCUCUUGAUUAGAAAAUUCCUCCUAAUUCUACCCUGAUUUCAUUCUGGUGAGGUUUACACCAUUUCCUUAUUCUUGCUCAUGGGAAAUAAUUGUUCAUAUCCUCUCAUAAUUCCCUUUCACAUCCUUAAAGAUUUUUCUGCAGCAAUUCCCUAUGGGCUAUGUGGUUCGGACUGAUGUUACCUGUUGCAGCCUGGAGAUUAAAGAAAUAAGAUGGACACACUGAAAGAGUGGAGGUGUGUGUGUGCAUGUGCUCACAUGCAUGUAUACAUGUGAGCACACGUGCCUGUGUGAGAGUGGUUACUCAAAGAAGACAAAUGCAUAAAGCAAUAUGGCUUUGAAACACAACCAGAGAUUUCAAGGGAUCCAAAAGGUACCAGCAUUUCUUAGAGACACAUUAACAGAUGCCCAGGAUGUACCCUUGGCCUUAUCAGAAACCUGCCUGGAGGAGGAGCACAAUGGGAAAGGAGUGUGGUGACCUUGGAGGCAUCUUGUGAAGAACAAGAGCAUCACUUCCUUAAAGGCCAUAAAAAUAAGGUCAGAAAAAAUAAAAGGACAUGGAAAUGGCAACACGUCUCUGAAGAAAGACUCCAUCAGCUCCUCCCCUGGGGUGGUCGUCUCCUCAUACUGAUGGCUUUAGACCUGGCUCACGGUCCCCCUCUCCACACUGCUCAGUCAUGAGUCCCAGUGACUUCAAUGCCCAUCCUUCUAAUCUCUGCAGGGCCUCUCACACCCACGCCUCCCACUCCUCCUUUGCCUUUGUCCUCUGCUGCUUCAGCCCCUGCUUCCUUAGGUCUUCUCUAGACCAGGAACUGCAAGCCCUCUCGAAUCUGAAUCUCAAACAUCCCACCCUCUCAUCACCUUGAUGCCAGAGAUGGCUGCAUGUCCACACAAAUUUGUAAUCUCUCUUCCAUAGUAUGGUUAUCUCUGCGGAGGGCCUGCCCACCCUCUGCAUGCCCAUGAGACUAGUUCUUGCCAAUGAAGUGUGAGUGGAAAUGAUGAGAACCACUUCUGAGCCCAGGCUGUAAAGAAAUGAGUUCUCUAGUUCCCUUUCUGUCAGCCACAUGCAGGUGAUCAUGGGGCUCUAAGGCAUGGCAGAGCUACAAGAUGGAAGAGGCCUGGGUUUCUGAAAUAGUGUAUGGAGAACUAUCUGCUGAAGAGGCACUCUUGCUUUUAGUUGUCUUGCUAGUAAGAAAUAAACAUCGAUUGUUUCUGAGGCUUAAAUUCUGAAGUCUGUUUGUUUUGUCCACUCGCAAACCCUGACAAGUAACAGUCUGUCCCCUUGGCCCUCACUCCCUGAAGUUCCGACAUCAUCGAUGCUUCAGUGCCACCCUCUGGUCCAUUAUCCUGCUGCCCUUUCACUUUCCAUCACACCUUGAUCACUUCCCUUCCCACCCAACGGGGCGUCCAUGGUCCUCAUUAUGCUCCCUCCUUGCACACCCACUCAAAUACCUGCCUUAUCUUUCACUGCACUGCACCCUCCCAGCAGUACCCAACCCCAGUUAAUUACGGUCCACCCACUAGGUGCCUGCA
This is a non-coding RNA of Manis javanica (Malayan pangolin), 3314 nucleotides long. The record is from RefSeq and is a predicted model, not a curated record. NCBI's taxonomy places the organism in Eukaryota, Metazoa, Chordata, Mammalia, Pholidota, Manidae.